GUUCCUGUAGUACAAUGGAUAGCCCAUUGGAUUUCUAAUCCAAAGGUUGUGGGUUCGUUCGAAUCCCACCUGGGAUG
Molecule: non-coding RNA, 77 nt
Organism: Trichonephila inaurata madagascariensis
Lineage: Eukaryota; Metazoa; Arthropoda; Arachnida; Araneae; Nephilidae
Source: the annotation of a GenBank genome assembly